Molecule: ribosomal RNA, 253 nt
Filed under: uncultured bacterium
Lineage: Bacteria
Description: partial 16S ribosomal RNA
Rfam family: Bacterial small subunit ribosomal RNA
Source: RNAcentral
UACGAAGGGGGCUAGCGUUGCUCGGAAUCACUGGGCGUAAAGCGCACGUAGGCGGACUCUUAAGUCGGUGGUGAAAUCCUGGAGCUCAACUCCAGAACUGCCUUCGAUACUGGGAGUCUCGAGUCCGGGAGAGGUGAGUGGAACUGCGAGUGUAGAGGUGAAAUUCGUAGAUAUUCGCAAGAACACCAGUGGCGAAGGCGGCUCACUGGCCCGGUACUGACGCUGAGGUGCGAGAGCGUGGGGAGCGAACCGG